UUCCGAUAUUUAAGAAAAGCAAUGCAAAAAGAAAUAAGGCCUGGCCCCUUCAACCAAUUGCAAUAGUUAUGCAUAUUGAUGAAGAUUUUGUGCUAGCUAUAGGUCCUAAAUUUGACGGUCAAUCUCUUAACAUCAGCAGCCGAUUUUCAAACACUUGCGUUGUUCUACUGAGUGAAACCUUAGAUAAAAAGUUUUCAAAAAUGUUAGAUGUGACUUUAAUUGUGUUCAAAUUAAAAAAGGCAAACAUCAAUUUCAGAUAUUUGUCCAACUCUCAGGCAACAAAUGCUCAAGCUUCGGCAGGAAAAGAAAGAAAAGAGAAUAGGAUUGGGAAAUUUGGGAAAGAAAUUUCACUUAGGUUCAACAUCAAACAAAUCAAUAUCUAUAUACUAAACUUACCAAAUAAAUUAAAUAACCCCAUGGAAAAUUUCUUGACUUGAGAAUUAAUAAUUAUUCCAAGAAAAUACAGAUAUUUCCUGUGUGAUCUCCAACAUUAGGAACCUAAUUUUCUUCACAAAAAUGUAUCUCCAUGCACAAAAAACCAGUUUCAUACGCCAAUAAUAGUACAGAACAAUCAUAUAUAUUCGAAUAAUGCACAAUCAUAUGCCAAUGGAGUUUACUUCAGGUGAAUAAUAAACAGCCCAGUAAUAAUCAAUCCCUAGGAAUGAAAAUCCUAAAACUAUACUGUAUUAGAAACUUCCAAAUACAAUUCCAACACCGUUUAAAAAUGAAAAAAAGCUAAUAGCAAAUGAGUAAAUAUGCUGAGAUAAUCAUAUCCUUCAAACACAAAGGACUGCAGUAUAAUUAUUUUAAAAGAACUAAC
Molecule: long non-coding RNA, 820 nt
Filed under: Olea europaea subsp. europaea
Lineage: Eukaryota; Viridiplantae; Streptophyta; Magnoliopsida; Lamiales; Oleaceae
Source: RNAcentral